CCAUGGUCUCUCCGUGACCCCCAACCCCACUUAUGGGGCAGCCGAUGGACCUCAGUGACCCUGAACUUCACUUAUGGGGCAGCCCAUGGAGCCUCCGCAACCCAGCAGCUCGCUUAUGGGGCAGCCAAUGGACUUUGCUGCCCCCCAACCUCACUUAUGGGGCAGCCCAAGGACCUCAGUGACCCCCAAGUUCACUUAUGGGGCAGCCAUGGACCUCAAUGACACUUCUUCACCCCACACUUAUGGGGCAGCCAAUGGACAUCAAUGACCCUUCUUCACCCCACGCUUAUGGGGCAGCCAAUGGACCUCAGUGACCCCCAACUCACUUAUGGGGCACCCUAUGGACUUCAGUGACCCCCAGGUGCACUUAUGGGGCACCCUAUGGACUUCAAUGACCCCCAAGCUCACUUAUGGGGCACCCUAUGGACUUCAAUGACCCCCA
Long non-coding RNA from Neopsephotus bourkii (Bourke's parrot), 442 nucleotides. RefSeq lists it as uncharacterized. The transcript has 3 exons. The record is from RefSeq and is a predicted model, not a curated record. Lineage: Eukaryota; Metazoa; Chordata; Aves; Psittaciformes; Psittacidae.